This 492-nucleotide ribosomal RNA is filed under the name uncultured bacterium. Its description in RNAcentral is "partial 16S ribosomal RNA". It matches the Rfam family "Bacterial small subunit ribosomal RNA", at positions 29 to 507 of the family's 1533-position model. The record is from RNAcentral.
AGUGAACGCUGGCGGUAGGUCUAACACAUGCAAGUCGAACGGCAGCACAGUAAGAGCUUGCUCUUACGGGUGGCGAGUGGCGUACGGGUGAGGAAUACAUCGGAAUCUACUUUUUCGUGGGGGAUAACGUAGGGAAACUUACGCUAAUACCGCAUACGCCCUACGGGUGAAAGCAGGGGAUCUUCGGACCUUGCGCGAUUGAAUGAGCCGAUGUCGGAUUAGCUAGUUGGCGGGGUAACGGCCCACCAAGGCGACGAUCCGUAGCUGGUCUGAGAGGAUGAUCAGCCACACUGGAACUGAGACACGGUCCAGACUCCUACGGGAGGCAGCAGUGGGGAAUAUUGGACAAUGGGCGCAAGCCUGAUCCAGCCAUACCGCGUGGGUGAAGAAGGCCUUCGGGUUGUAAAGCCCUUUUGUUGGGAAAGAAAAGCAGCAGGUUAAUACCCCGCUGUUCUGACGGUACCCAAAGAAUAAGCACCGGCUAACUUCGUG